CCACCUUUCAGGAGAGGCUGGAGCCCAGCAAUGAAGGGCCAGUGAUAGGUGGGAUCACACCUUAACCACACUGCUCAGGAAGACAACUUGAACAGCUCAGCCUGACCCAUUGCUCCAUUUCGACCCUGAAUGAUUGCCUCCUUGGACCAUGGACCAGGAUGGUUCUCAUGGGAGAACAAGCUGGCUGUGGGAGAUGCUGGGCACCCAUCCAGGGUAAUAGAGACUGAGUUAUGGAGCCGCUGCAACAUCGCCAAGGGUUUGAAUGAAGAAAACCUCAGUGUGAGAUCUCCGCCACGCGUGUUCACUAGCAAGCAGAUACAGAUAGUGCAUCGCUGGUUCAGUGAUGGGACCCCAACUCCUGCCUCCCCCAGUGCCCCAUGAACAAAGAGUUGAAUCUGGUUCAAAUGCGGCCCUAGUGGCAGGAUUUUCUGAGUUACUUGUUAGGAGUCAGCCAACCUACAAUCUUUUCACAUUAGAUGGACACAGGACUUUGUAGUGAACCAGGUGGGAGGACAUCCAUAGGGGUGAGGCAUUUUUAUAUGGCACUCAUGCAAGUGGGCUCUUCAAAUUAUUUCAGCCGUUCAUGUAUGUUAAGCAAACUAUUGAUUUUAUCAGUGGAAACGUGUGUCAACAGACAUCCAUUAUGCAAAUGAGAAAAAACCCUCAAGUGCUGGGUAGAGCACUUUAUAAUUUAAAUAGCUGAGGGUCUUGUAGUGGCCCCCUCUGGAGUGGGGCUCUCUGAUUAAACACCAGCGAACUCCUCCGGAGUCUACAUUCCUGAUUAGGACCGUGACUGUCACAUGGGAGUAGCCUAAAAACAAUGUCUAGAACACAGCAUGUUGAGAUACUUGAAAGUAAAUUGCAGAAGACAGGACGUCUUGUGCACUUGUAAAAGGACAAAAAGAAAACCCACCUUGCACUGUAAUCACCAGGGGAUUUAAUUAUGAGGAAAGCACAGUGCAGAGGUAAGCAGUCAGACUCAGAGCACUGGCUGCGACCUUGCUCUCUGCUUGGACAUGCAUAUUCAAAAGUGCUCUUGCUCUUGCUUUUGGUAAGAUGUUGAAUACCUUUUUGUUGUUAUCUAACCAUUUCACCACAGACUUGAAUAAUAUCAAAAUUGUAAUUCCUGACAUGCAAGAGUUAUUAAUAUUUUCAGUUAAAAUUCAUCUGUUAGUCUUUUGUAUUUAUCAAUAAAGUAUCU
This is a long non-coding RNA of Peromyscus maniculatus bairdii (prairie deer mouse), 1201 nucleotides long. RefSeq lists it as uncharacterized. The record is from RefSeq and is a predicted model, not a curated record. NCBI's taxonomy places the organism in Eukaryota, Metazoa, Chordata, Mammalia, Rodentia, Cricetidae.